GCAAUUAUACCGUGAANCUGCGAAUGGCUCAUUAAAUCAGUUAUCGUUUAUUUGAUAGUACCUUACUACUUGGAUAACCGUGGUAAUUCUAGAGCUAAUACAUGCUAAAAACCCCGACUUCGGGAGGGGUGUAUUUAUUAGAUAAAAAACCAACGCCCUUCGGGGCUCCUUGGUGAAUCAUAAUAACUUAACGGAUCGCAUGGCCUUGCGCCGGCGACGGUUCAUUCAAAUUUCUGCCCUAUCAACUUUCGAUUGUAGGGUAUUGGCCUACAAUGGUAUCAACGGGUAACGGGGAAUUAGGGUUCGAUUCCGGAGAGGGAGCCUGAGAAACGGCUACCACAUCCAAGGAAGGCAGCAGGCGCGCAAAUUACCCAAUCCCGACACGGGGAGGUAGUGACAAUAAAUACUGAUACAGGGCUCUUUUGGGUCUUGUAAUUGGAAUGAGUACAAUUUAAAUCCCUUAACGAGGAACAAUUGGAGGGCAAGUCUGGUGCCAGCAGCCGCGGUAAUUCCAGCUCCAAUAGCGUAUAUUAAAGUUGUUGCAGUUAAAAAGCUCGUAGUUGAACCUUGGGUCUGGCUGGCCGGUCCGCCUCACCGCGUGCACUGGUCCGGCCGGACCUUUCCUUCUGGAGAACCGCAUGCCCUUCACUGGGUGUGUCGGGGAACCAGGACUUUUACUUUGAAAAAAUUAGAGUGUUCAAAGCAGGCCUUUGCUCGAAUACAUUAGCAUGGAAUAAUAGAAUAGGACGUGCGGUCCUAUUUUGUUGGUUUCUAGGACCGCCGUAAUGAUUAAUAGGGAUAGUCGGGGGCAUCAGUAUUCAAUUGUCAGAGGUGAAAUUCUUAGAUUUAUUGAAGACUAACUACUGCGAAAGCAUUUGCCAAGGAUGUUUUCAUUAAUCAGUGAACGAAAGUUAGGGGAUCGAAGACGAUCAGAUACCGUCGUAGUCUUAACCGUAAACUAUGCCGACUAGGGAUCGGGCGAUGUUAUUCUUUUGACUCGCUCGGCACCU
This 1010-nucleotide ribosomal RNA is filed under the name Rhytidhysteron tectonae. RNAcentral describes it as "SSU rRNA". It matches the Rfam family "Eukaryotic small subunit ribosomal RNA", at positions 69 to 1088 of the family's 1831-position model. The record is from RNAcentral. Lineage: Eukaryota; Fungi; Ascomycota; Dothideomycetes; Hysteriales; Hysteriaceae.